GUGCUGCAUGGCUGUCGUCAGCUCGUGUUGUGAAAUGUUGGGUUAAGUCCCGCAACGAGCGCAACCCUUAUCCUUUGUUGCCAGCGGUCCGGCCGGGAACUCAAAGGAGACUGCCAGUGAUAAACUGGAGGAAGGUGGGGAUGACGUCAAGUCAUCAUGGCCCUUACGACCAGGGCUACACACGUGCUACAAUGGCAUAUACAAAGAGAAGCGACCUCGCGAGAGCAAGCGGACCUCAUAAAGUAUGUCGUAGUCCGGAUUGGAGUCUGCAACUCGACUCCAUGAAGUCGGAAUCGCUAGUAAUCGUAGAUCAGAAUGCUACGGUGAAUACGUUCCCGGGCCUUGUACACACCGCCCGUCACACCAUGGGAGUGGGUUGCAAAAGAAGUAGGUAGCUUAACCUUCGGGAGGGCGCUUACCACUUUGUGAUUCAUGACUGGGGUGAAGUCGUAACAAGGUAACCGUAGGGGAACCUGCGGUUGGAUCACCUCCUUACCUUAAAGAA
RNAcentral lists this ribosomal RNA (505 nucleotides) under Klebsiella pneumoniae. RNAcentral describes it as "bacterial SSU rRNA". It matches the Rfam family "Bacterial small subunit ribosomal RNA", at positions 1038 to 1533 of the family's 1533-position model. The record is from RNAcentral. Lineage: Bacteria; Pseudomonadati; Pseudomonadota; Gammaproteobacteria; Enterobacterales; Enterobacteriaceae.